AGUUAAUGAACUUGAAUAAGUAUAUGUUUUGAAAACAUAAAAUAGAAAUAUUAUUUUCUAUUAACUU
Molecule: transfer RNA, 67 nt
Filed under: Subclytia rotundiventris
Lineage: Eukaryota; Metazoa; Arthropoda; Insecta; Diptera; Tachinidae
Description: tRNA-Ser
Source: RNAcentral